CAAGUACUGUUCUCCCCAUUUACAGAAGAGAACACUGAAUCACAAAGAACAAGGGAGUUGUCUAGGUGACCCAGCUGGGCAAGGCAGAGCAUAGAUUUGAACAUGGAUGAGAAAUCGUUUGUGCAGUCAAGAAAUGUGUGCUGAGCACAGGUGGGCCAGGCCUUAAGGACAUGAGAGAGAUCUGUUCUUCUAGAGAUAACACCUCUUACACAAUGAGCCAGGAAAAGGUAAGCAGCAAUAAAAGAUGAAACAGCGCCAAAGCCCAGGUCAGGCUGUGGUUGGCACAGUCAGGAGGCUGGCUGAAAGAAGCAGGAGGGUGCGCGGCGGAAGUCAGGUGCAGGGAACAGAAGCCACUCCAGCUGUGUGACAGACAGCAUCCAGUGGAAGGAACUAGCGUCUGAGACACCGCUGAAGGGCUCGAGCAGAGGACUGGGACUGGACCCUCUGGGAAGCACACAUCUAGCCCCACAGAACUUGUCUGCCAGGUGGCUGCCUCUUUCAGCUACGUAAAAACCACCUAAGACUUACCAUCUUAACCAUUUUUAAGUGUGCAGCUUGAUAGUGUUAACUAAAUGCACAUGGUUGUGCAACAGAU
Odocoileus virginianus texanus is the source of this 595-nucleotide long non-coding RNA. RefSeq lists it as uncharacterized. The record is from RefSeq and is a predicted model, not a curated record. NCBI's taxonomy places the organism in Eukaryota, Metazoa, Chordata, Mammalia, Artiodactyla, Cervidae.